UACGAAGGGGGCUAGCGUUGUUCGGAAUCACUGGGCGUAAAGCGCGCGUAGGCGGAUCAUUAAGUCAGGGGUGAAAUCCCGAGGCUCAACCUCGGAACUGCCUUUGAUACUGGUGAUCUGGAGUCCGGGAGAGGUGAGUGGAACUCCUAGUGUAGAGGUGAAAUUCGUAGAUAUUAGGAAGAACACCAGUGGCGAAGGCGGCUCACUGGCCCGGUACUGACGCUGAUGCGCGAAAGCGUGGGGAGCAAACAGG
This 253-nucleotide ribosomal RNA is filed under the name uncultured bacterium. Its description in RNAcentral is "partial 16S ribosomal RNA". It matches the Rfam family "Bacterial small subunit ribosomal RNA", at positions 524 to 776 of the family's 1533-position model. The record is from RNAcentral.